Non-coding RNA from Biomphalaria pfeifferi, 602 nucleotides. The record is from the annotation of a GenBank genome assembly. Lineage: Eukaryota; Metazoa; Mollusca; Gastropoda; Planorbidae.
UACAUAUCUUAUAAAGAUAUUUUUGUUUGAUGAGACUUAUGAAACAUUCAUUUUUUUGGGUUGCAAAUAGGCUGUGUGGCAAUUUCAGACCAGUGUUAUUGUGUUAUGUUGAAAAUUAUAGACAUAAUGGUGUUUAGAGAUUAUUCAUUUAAUGUUUAUUAACUAUCUCAGUAAUUAUGUACAGAUUUGAAAUUCAUUUGAAGGUCCAUCGUCACAUUUGACACUCACAGACUCCCACUUUUAUUGAUAGCUAUAUAUUCAGUUAAAGGCUAAAGAUAAUAAUGGAGGUGGGGAAACAAGUGAAAGGAUAAUAAGUGAGUUGUGAAAAAAUACAUUGUAAUCUUACAUACAUAUGUAUAAACCAAUAUAUAAUUUUUUUAAAUACUUUUGUAAGAAGUUUCCUAAUUUUAGAUUCAUGAUUAUUAUUUAAAAUAAAUUACUCAAUAGAGCUUGGUGAUGUUUCAGAAGACUGGAGUAUUACAUUUUUUUUGUGUGUGACUGCAAUUAAUUUACUACUUGUUCGUCCAUGUUAAACUAACAUAACAAGAGCUAUGACUUGAUAUAUUAUUUAAAUAAAUCAAAAUUAAUAAUAAUAACAAAAU